AAAGGGUGAGUUUACGAUAAGUUAGUGUGUAACCCCCUAUCAGUCAAAUAGUAAAUAGUGCUUGCAGUAACAGUUUGGGCCUGAGCCCUAUUCAGUAUCAGUGUGGGCCUAAGCCCGAUUUAGUAUCAGUAUAGUGCAGUCAUGUAACCCACUCCAAUCCAACCAACACACUACCCGUACCAACCAAUACACCAUGUGGGGAUUAAAUUGACCUACCUAGCCAACACACCAAUAUUGCAGCAUAGCUGCUAAUAGUAACGCAGCAAAGCUGCUUAUAAUAGUAAACGUGGCAAAGCCACCAGAGCAGUAAUUAUGUAGCCAAGCCACUAAUACAGUACUUCC
This 342-nucleotide long non-coding RNA is filed under the name Gossypium barbadense (sea-island cotton). Its description in RNAcentral is "long non-coding RNA (GBAR_LNC004389)". Lineage: Eukaryota; Viridiplantae; Streptophyta; Magnoliopsida; Malvales; Malvaceae. The record is from RNAcentral.